This 548-nucleotide ribosomal RNA is filed under the name uncultured bacterium. Its description in RNAcentral is "bacterial SSU rRNA". It matches the Rfam family "Bacterial small subunit ribosomal RNA", at positions 355 to 896 of the family's 1533-position model. The record is from RNAcentral.
UAGGGAAUCUUCCGCAAUGGGCGAAAGCCUGACGGAGCAACGCCGCGUGAGUGAAGAAGGAUUUCGGUUCGUAAAGCUCUGUUGUUAGGGAAGAAUGAUUGUGUAGUAACUAUACACAGUAGAGACGGUACCUAACCAGAAAGCCACGGCUAACUACGUGCCAGCAGCCGCGGUAAUACGUAGGUGGCAAGCGUUGUCCGGAAUUAUUGGGCGUAAAGCGCGCGCAGGUGGUUUAAUAAGUCUGAUGUGAAAGCCCACGGCUCAACCGUGGAGGGUCAUUGGAAACUGUUAAGCUUGAGUGCAGGAGAGAAAAGUGGAAUUCCUAGUGUAGCGGUGAAAUGCGUAGAGAUUAGGAGGAACACCAGUGGCGAAGGCGGCUUUUUGGCCUGUAACUGACACUGAGGCGCGAAAGCGUGGGGAGCAAACAGGAUUAGAUACCCUGGUAGUCCACGCCGUAAACGAUGAGUGCUAAGUGUUGGUCUCAUAAGAGAUCAGUGCUGCAGCUAACGCAUUAAGCACUCCGCCUGGGGAGUACGACCGCAAGGUUG